UAUUGGGCAAUGGGCGCAAGCCUGACCCAGCAACGCCGCGUGAAGGAAGAAGGCUUUCGGGUUGUAAACUUCUUUUAAGAGGGAAGAGNNGAAGACGGUACCUCUUGAAGAAGCCCCGGCUAACUACGUGCCAGCAGCCGCGGUAAUACGUAGGGGGCAAGCGUUAUCCGGAAUUACUGGGUGUAAAGGGAGAGUAGGCGGCAAGGUAAGCGAUAUGUGAAAGCCUUAGGCUUAACCUGAGGAUUGCAUAACGAACUAUCUAGCUAGAGUACAGGAGAGGAAAGCGGAAUUCCUAGUGUAGCGGUGAAAUGCGUAGAUAUUAGGAAGAACACCAGUGGCGAAGGCGGCUUUCUGGACUGAAACUGACGCUGAGGCUCGAAAGCGUGGGGAGCGAACA
Molecule: ribosomal RNA, 397 nt
Filed under: uncultured bacterium
Lineage: Bacteria
Description: bacterial SSU rRNA
Rfam family: Bacterial small subunit ribosomal RNA
Source: RNAcentral